UAGUAACUGCGAGUGAAGCGGGAAAAGCUCAAAUUUAAAAUCUGGCGGUCUUUGGCCGUCCGAGUUGUAGUCUGGAGAAGCGUCUUCCGCGUUGGACCGUGUACAAGUCUCUUGGAACAGAGCGUCAUAGAGGGUGAGAAUCCCGUCUUUGACACGGACUACCAAUGCUUUGUGAUGCGCUCUCAAAGAGUCGCGUUGUUUGGGAAUGCAGCGCAAAAUGGGAGGUGAAUUCCUUCUAAAGCUAAAUAUUGGCGAGAGACCGAUAGCGAACAAGUACCGUGAGGGAAAGAUGAAAAGCACUUUGGAAAGAGAGUUAAACAGUACGUGAAAUUGCUAAAAGGGAAACGCUUGAAGUCAGUCGCGUCGUCCGGAACUCAGCUUUGCUUCGGCUUAGUGCACUUUCCGGUUGACGGGCCAGCAUCGAUUUUGACCGCUGGAAAAGGGCUGGAGGAAUGUGGCACCUUCGGGUGUGUUAUAGCCUUCAGUCGCAUACAGCGGUUGGGAUCGAGGAACGCAGCGCGCCUUAUGGCUGGGGUUCGCCCACAUUCGCGCUUAGGAUGCUGGCAUAAUGGCUUUAAACGACCCGUCUUGAAACACGGACCAAGGAGUCUAACAUGCCUGCGAGUGUUUGGGUGGAAAACCCGAGCGCGUAAUGAAAGUGAAAGUUGAGACCUCUGUCGUGGAGGGCAUCGACGCCCGGACCUGACGUUUUCUGAAGGAUCCGCGGUAGAGCAUGUAUGUUGGGACCCGAAAGAUGGUGAACUAUGCCUGAAUAGGGUGAAGCCAGAGGAAACUCUGGUGGAGGCUCGUAGCGAUUCUGACGUGCAAAUCGAUCGUCAAAUUUGGGUAUAGGGGCGAAAGACUAAUCGAACCAUCUAGUAGCU
Molecule: ribosomal RNA, 884 nt
Filed under: fungal sp.
Lineage: Eukaryota; Fungi
Description: partial large subunit ribosomal RNA
Rfam family: Eukaryotic large subunit ribosomal RNA
Source: RNAcentral